RNAcentral lists this transfer RNA (65 nucleotides) under Dipodomys ordii (Ord's kangaroo rat). It matches the Rfam family "tRNA". From Rfam's summary of the family: Transfer RNA (tRNA) molecules are approximately 80 nucleotides in length. Their secondary structure includes four short double-helical elements and three loops (D, anti-codon, and T loops). The record is from Rfam by way of RNAcentral. Lineage: Eukaryota; Metazoa; Chordata; Mammalia; Rodentia; Heteromyidae.
GGUGGCUCAGUGGUAGAGUGCUUGCCUGGCACGCAUGAGGCCCUGGGUUGGAUUCCCCAGCACCA